Long non-coding RNA from Folsomia candida, 1738 nucleotides. RefSeq lists it as uncharacterized. NCBI's taxonomy places the organism in Eukaryota, Metazoa, Arthropoda, Collembola, Entomobryomorpha, Isotomidae. The record is from RefSeq and is a predicted model, not a curated record. The transcript has 3 exons.
GCCACCAAACAACCAACGUUACGAUAUAUUUAUGUAUAUAGAACAUAUCUAAUAAGAACCGUUCUUGUCACCCCAGUGUCGAUGCAGGAUGAUAAUGAUUUGCCAACUCACUCAUGGCCAUGGUCAGGGUCAAUUCCCUUUUUGGGGAGAAGAAGAGGAGACGACUUGAUUACAACGCCCAUUAUAAAUAAUACACCUCUCUCUACGACUUACCAACCACAUUACAGCAAUUUAUAAACAAAACCUAACCAAAUCGAUCCACAUCAGGAUUCAGGAGCAUUAAUUGACAUGGGAUAUGUACAUACGGGAGGAGAGGAGUGAGUCAAAGUCAAGCGUCCUAAUGAUCUCAUGGAAAGGAAAGCAGUAUAAUUCUCAUUUUUGGACGUACUAAAAGUUCUGUUUUAUGUGUGCGGCAUUGAUACUUGAGAAUCGUAAUCGAUACCCUUUUACCACUAAUUUCGCUUUCAUAUGCAUACGUACAGGGUCGAAAGUUGUGUUAAGUGCGCUAGAUAAUAUUAUAAGAUUGACUACGAUGAGUAAUACAUACCACAAAUUUAUGAGACUACAGAAAAAAAAACAUUUUUUCUCUCAACGCCAAGCAGAUGGUACAUACAUGCAUGGCCACGGGCGACGACGACGACGUUUGUUAGACGACUACACGCGGGGACGGAUAAUCUGACCUCAAUUUAUAAACAUGCAUGCAUCCCUACCAACAAUACAUGCACACUCUGAAUAAGAUUACUUACUGCACUUGAUCAUCAUCCAUAUUGUACAUCCAUCCAUCCUCUCCGAAAUGCAACCAAUUAUCAAUUUUAUGAGACAUAAAUGCUCAGGUAGGUUUAUUGUUAGUUCAUUGAGUCCCUUUCUCUAGAUUUAAAUAAAUACAUUUACCAACAGAACCAGUGCAUGCAGUAAAAAAGAAAUAAGGUUUAAAACAUGUAUUAAAGUAAACACUUAUUUAUAAAAUUGAUCUUCUAAAUAUUUUUAAAGUGCUCAAUUCACAAAAUGUUUAGUUAAAGAGUUUCAAAAAUAAAUUGAAUUUAAAAAACGUUUAAUGUAAGUACAUCUGUACCGUCAGAUUUUAUAAUUAGGCCGACAGUAUAUGUAUGUCAGUGUUAUUACAAUUACACAUUUUGACAUGUACGCAGCGUCGUAAUCAGUGACAACCGUUUGGCCGUUGUGAUUCAUCAUAUGCAAAUUAGUGUUUAAAAUAAUGCCGUAUUCGUUGAUGAAAUUAACUGUAUUUCCAUUAUUAUCUGUCAAUCAACCUAUAAAUAAACUGAUACAUUAAUGAUGUCUCAAAUGUUUAUAUGCAAAUAAGUGCCGCAUGUGGUGGUGGUUAGAAUAUUGAUCCAUCUUUUUUUACAACUGGACUUUUCCACCGAAUUAAUUAAUAUUUAAAUGUCUUCACCUUUUUAAUUUGAAAUAUCAUCUUCUCCUUUUAUUUAACAUAACACGUAUAAAAACAAGGGUGCAAUUUUGCAAAACAAAUAAUAUUAAAAACAACAACAAUUGAUAAAAUCAUCAAUACUUGAAUUAUAACAAAAACAAUUACUGUAAAAAUAAAUAUUUACAAUAUAAUUAUAAUUUUUAUAAUUUUCAAAAAAUAAAUUAUAAAAUUCUCAUCAUUUCGUUCAUUUUCGUCACGUAAAAAAAACAAUCAAGUCAAACAGUCAGCACAAGAGGCAAGAAAAGUUGCACAAAAGUGUGUCCUUUUUUCGUACCAAGUAAAAAAAAA